Molecule: ribosomal RNA, 434 nt
Filed under: uncultured Lachnospiraceae bacterium
Lineage: Bacteria; Bacillati; Bacillota; Clostridia; Lachnospirales; Lachnospiraceae
Description: partial 16S ribosomal RNA
Rfam family: Bacterial small subunit ribosomal RNA
Source: RNAcentral
ACGGAAGGCAGCAGUGGGGAAUAUUGCACAAUGGGGGAAACCCUGAUGCAGCGACGCCGCGUGAGUGAAGAAGUAUUUCGGUAUGUAAAGCUCUAUCAGCAGGAAAGAAAAUGACGGUACCUGACUAAGAAGCCCCGGCUAACUACGUGCCAGCAGCCGCGGUAAUACGUAGGGGGCAAGCGUUAUCCGGAUUUACUGGGUGUAAAGGGAGCGUAGACGGCUUUGCAAGUCUGAAGUGAAAGCCCGGGGCUCAACCCCGGAACUGCUUUGGAAACUGUAGAGCUAGAGUGCAGGAGAGGUAAGUGGAAUUCCCAGUGUAGCGGUGAAAUGCGUAGAUAUUAGGAGGAACACCAGUGGCGAAGGCGGCUUACUGGACUGUAACUGACGUUGAGGCUCGAAGGCGUGGGGAGCAAACAGGAUUAGAUACCCUGGUA